AACGCACAUUGCGCCCCUUGGUAUUCCGAGGGGCAUGCCUGUUCGAGCGUCAUUACAACCCUCAAGCAUUGCUUGGUAUUGGGCCCCACUGCUUACCCAGCGGGCCUUAAAAUCAGUGGCGGUGCCGUCGAGGCCCUGAGCGUAGUAAAUAUCCUCGCUAUAGGGACUCGGUGGACGCUGGCCAUCAACCCCCAACUUUCUAAGUUUGACCUCGGAUCAGGUAGGGAUACCCGCUGAACUUAA
This 243-nucleotide unclassified non-coding RNA is filed under the name uncultured fungus. Its description in RNAcentral is "sequence contains ITS2". The stretch from base 1 to 52 matches the Rfam family "5.8S ribosomal RNA", at positions 103 to 154 of the family's 154-position model. The record is from RNAcentral. Lineage: Eukaryota; Fungi.